GAUUAUUCUAGUUUUUAUAAGAGGAAAACAAUGCCUCUACAAAGUAGGCAAAAUAUAUACAUAAAGGAAACGUAAUGGACAGCAGGCAGAUCGCAUGACAUUCUAUGCAGAAUGCAUUCUAUUUUGUGCAAUCCAUCUGAUUUUUACAAGUUCAUAGCACUGUAUUUUCAAAUUAAACAUGCCAGACUUUAUGAAUAGAAAUUGCAAAACCAGUUAUCAAGACCAAAGAAACCAGAUAAUGUGAGACAGUACAAAAAAAAAAAGAGAAAAAGUUUAUUUUGACAUCUCUUGGAGCUCUCUGGGGUCCACUGCCCCAAAGCAGUUAUGAAAAAUGAAAAGCAAACCAAUCAAUACAUGAAGCAUAAGGGAGAUCAAGAGUCAAACAUUGAGAAACACAACAGGCUGAACAACAGCUCCAUCCACUGUCCGGUGACAUGAACUUUACACAACAUCACAUUAACUGCUAUCAUACAUUCGUGCUUCUUUCUGCAAAUUAAGUCCACAGAAUUGGU
This is a long non-coding RNA of Sinocyclocheilus anshuiensis, 512 nucleotides long. RefSeq lists it as uncharacterized. The record is from RefSeq and is a predicted model, not a curated record. Lineage: Eukaryota; Metazoa; Chordata; Actinopteri; Cypriniformes; Cyprinidae. The transcript has 3 exons.